This 120-nucleotide ribosomal RNA is filed under the name uncultured bacterium. RNAcentral's name for it is "partial 16S ribosomal RNA". It matches the Rfam family "Bacterial small subunit ribosomal RNA", at positions 28 to 149 of the family's 1533-position model. The record is from RNAcentral.
GAUUAACGCUGGCGGCGUGCCUAAGGUAUGCAAGUCGAACGAUAAGCCAUCUUCGGAUGGUGGACAGUGGCAAACUGCUGAGUAACGCGUAGGAACCUACCCAUAAGUCAAGGAUAGCUC